This 432-nucleotide ribosomal RNA is filed under the name uncultured soil bacterium. RNAcentral describes it as "bacterial SSU rRNA". It matches the Rfam family "Bacterial small subunit ribosomal RNA", at positions 957 to 1393 of the family's 1533-position model. The record is from RNAcentral.
UAACGCGAAGAACCUUACCUACCCUUGACAUGUACGGAAGCCUGGAGAGAUCCGGGUGUGCUCGAAAGAGAGCCGUAACACAGGUGCUGCAUGGCUGUCGUCAGCUCGUGUCGUGAGAUGUUGGGUUAAGUCCCGCAACGAGCGCAACCCUUGUCAUUAGUUGCUACGCAAGAGCACUCUAAUGAGACUGCCGGUGACAAACCGGAGGAAGGUGGGGAUGACGUCAAGUCCUCAUGGCCCUUAUGGGUAGGGCUUCACACGUCAUACAAUGGUACAUACAGAGGGCCGCCAACCCGCGAGGGGGAGCUAAUCCCAGAAAGUGUAUCGUAGUCCGGAUUGUAGUCUGCAACUCGACUACAUGAAGUUGGAAUCGCUAGUAAUCGCGGAUCAGCAUGUCGCGGUGAAUACGUUCUCGGGUCUUGUACACACCGA